Molecule: non-coding RNA, 470 nt
Organism: Fukomys damarensis (Damara mole-rat)
Lineage: Eukaryota; Metazoa; Chordata; Mammalia; Rodentia; Bathyergidae
Source: the annotation of a RefSeq genome assembly
GACUUAAGAGACUGCAAAUGAACUGUUCCCCAGGAAUUAUGUUUGUACUCUUCUUAACGUUUGGAGGAAGCAACGAAGAUUCAGUGACCCAGAUAGGAGGUCAAGUGACCCUCUCUGAAAGAACUGCCCUGACUGUGAACUGCUCCUAUAAAACCACACAGUAUCCUGCCCUGUUCUGGUACGUCCAGUAUCCCGGAAAAGGUCUGCAGCUUCUCCUGAAAGCCUCAAAGGACAAGGAUAAGGGAAGCCACAAAGGAUUUGAAGCCACGUAUGAUAAAGACACCAGCUCCUUCCACUUGGAGAAAGCCUCAGUGCAAGAGUCAGACUCGGCUGUGUACUACUGUGCUGUGGGUGACACAGUGGCAGGAACUGCAGGGGGAGCCGAACACAAACUCUGGGCAGUGACAAGAGACCUGGCUGUUGGGUGUCUGACUUGGAUUUCAUUGCUUAGAGGUCAGGUACUUGUCUAA